GGAUUGCCUUAGUAACGGCGAGUGAAGCGGCAUAAGCUCAAAUUUGAAAUCUGCCUUUUGGCCGAGUUGUAAUUUGAAGAGGAUCGUUUAGCUGAUGUGUGGGUCCAAGUUUUCUGGAAAGAAGCACCACAGAGGGUGAGAGUCCCGUCCGAUCUAUAACUGAAGCUAUGUAAACGUCCUUCGAAGAGUCGAGUUGUUUGGGAAUGCAGCUCUAAGUGGGUGGUAAAUUCCAUCUAAAGCUAAAUAUUGGCCAGAGACCGAUAGCGCACAAGUAGAGUGAUCGAAAGAUGAAAAGCACUUUGAAAAGAGAGUGAAAAAGUACGUGAAAUUGUUGAAAGGGAACCGCUUGCAAUCAGACUUGUUUUAGAGAUUCAGCUGCUUUUUAAGUAGUGUAUUUCUCUGUAUCAUGCCAGUAUCAGUUAAGGCGACUGGAUAAAAGUAGUAGAAAUGUGACUCUUCUCGGAGAGUGUUAUAGUCUGCUACAUAAUACAGCCUGCCCUGACUGAGGUCUUAGAUAUUGGCGUAAUGGUUGCUAGCGACUCGUCUUGAAACACGAACCAAGGAGUCUAACAUCUAUGCGAGUUUUUGGGUGGUAAACCCUAAAGCGCAAUGAAAGUGAAUGGAGGUGAGACCUUCGGGGCAUCAUCGACCGAUCUGGACGUUUUCUGAAGGAUUUGAGUAAGAGCAUAGCUGUUGGGACCCGAAAGAUGGUGAACUAUGCGUGAAUAGAAUGAAGUCAGAGGAAACUCUGAUGGAAGUUCGCAGCGGUUCUGACGUGCAAAUCGAUCGUCAAAUUUGCGUAUAGGGG
Molecule: ribosomal RNA, 808 nt
Filed under: Pseudomicrothyrium fici-septicae
Lineage: Eukaryota; Fungi; Ascomycota; Dothideomycetes; Microthyriales; Microthyriaceae
Description: Microthyrium fici-septicae partial large subunit ribosomal RNA
Rfam family: Eukaryotic large subunit ribosomal RNA
Source: RNAcentral